AGCAGUACCACGGGAACACCGAGGGUGCGAGCGUUAAUCGGAUUUACUGGGCGUAAAGCGUGCGUAGGCGGCUUUUUAAGUCGGAUGUGAAAUCCCUGAGCUUAACUUAGGAAUUGCAUUCGAUACUGGGAAGCUAGAGUAUGGGAGAGGAUGGUAGAAUUCCAGGUGUAGCGGUGAAAUGCGUAGAGAUCUGGAGGAAUACCGAUGGCGAAGGCAGCCAUCUGGCCUAAUACUGACGCUGAGGUACGAAAGCAUGGGGAGCAAACAGGAUUAGAUACCCCGGUAGUCCCUGUCUCUUAUACA
RNAcentral lists this ribosomal RNA (303 nucleotides) under uncultured bacterium. RNAcentral describes it as "partial 16S ribosomal RNA". It matches the Rfam family "Bacterial small subunit ribosomal RNA", at positions 507 to 808 of the family's 1533-position model. The record is from RNAcentral.